CAACAGGGAUUGCCCUAGUAACGGCGAGUGAAGCGGCAACAGCUCAAAUUUGAAAUCUGGCUCUCGGGCCCGAGUUGUAAUUUGUAGAGGAUGCUUUUGGUGAGGUGCCUUCCGAGUUCCCUGGAACGGGACGCCACAGAGGGUGAGAGCCCCGUCUGGUUGGACACCGAUCCUCUGUAAAGCUCCUUCGACGAGUCGAGUAGUUUGGGAAUGCUGCUCUAAAUGGGAGGUAUAUGUCUUCUAAAGCUAAAUACCGGCCAGAGACCGAUAGCGCACAAGUAGAGUGAUCGAAAGAUGAAAAGAACUUUGAAAAGAGAGUUAAACAGUACGUGAAAUUGUUGAAAGGGAAGCGCUUGUGACCAGACUUGGGCUUGGUUGAUCAUCCAGGGUUCUCCCUGGUGCACUCUUCCGGCCCAGGCCAGCAUCAGUUCGCCCCGGGGGAAAAAGGCUUCGGGAAUGUGGCUCUCUCCGGGGAGUGUUAUAGCCCGUUGCGUAAUACCCUGUGGCGGACUGAGGUUCGCGCAUUCGCAAGGAU
Molecule: ribosomal RNA, 535 nt
Filed under: Fusarium sp. NRRL 22354
Lineage: Eukaryota; Fungi; Ascomycota; Sordariomycetes; Hypocreales; Nectriaceae
Description: LSU rRNA
Rfam family: Eukaryotic large subunit ribosomal RNA
Source: RNAcentral